This 292-nucleotide ribosomal RNA is filed under the name uncultured bacterium. Its description in RNAcentral is "partial 16S ribosomal RNA". It matches the Rfam family "Bacterial small subunit ribosomal RNA", at positions 505 to 796 of the family's 1533-position model. The record is from RNAcentral.
GUGCCAGCAGCCGCGGUAAUACGGAGGAGGCAAGCGUUAUCCGGAAUUAUUGGGCGUAAAGCGUCCGUAGGUGGUUUAGUAAGUCUGCUGUUAAAGCGCGGGGCUUAACUCCGUAUCGGCAGUGGAAACUACUAGACUAGAGUGUGGUAGGGGUAGAGGGAAUUCCCAGUGUAGCGGUGAAAUGCGUAGAUAUUGGGAAGAACACCGGUGGCGAAGGCGCUCUACUGGGCCAUAACUGACACUGAUGGACGAAAGCUAGGGGAGCGAAAGGGAUUAGAUACCCCUGUAGUCC